GACGGAGGUGGCAAACGUUGCUCGGAAUUACUGGGCUUAAAGGGCGUGUAGGCGGUCGAUUAAGUCGGGUGUGAAAAACCUCAGCUCAACCGAGGAAUUGCAUUCGAUACUGAUCGGCUAGAGUGCGAGAGGGGCAAGUGGAACUCCAGGUGUAGCGGUGAAAUGCGUAGAUAUCUGGAGGAACGCCGGUGGCGAAAGCGACUUGCUGGCUCGUAACUGACGCUGAGGCGCGAAAGCCAGGGGAGCAAACGGG
This 253-nucleotide ribosomal RNA is filed under the name uncultured bacterium. RNAcentral describes it as "partial 16S ribosomal RNA". It matches the Rfam family "Bacterial small subunit ribosomal RNA", at positions 524 to 776 of the family's 1533-position model. The record is from RNAcentral.